GUGCUCGCUUUGGCAGCACAUAUACUAAAAUUGGAACGAUAUAGAGAAGAUUAGCAUGGACCCUGCGCAAGGAUGACACGCAAAUUCGUGAAGUGUUCCAUAUUUAA
RNAcentral lists this small nuclear RNA (107 nucleotides) under Delphinapterus leucas (beluga whale). The record is from RNAcentral. Lineage: Eukaryota; Metazoa; Chordata; Mammalia; Artiodactyla; Monodontidae.